Molecule: microRNA precursor, 204 nt
Filed under: Oryza sativa Japonica Group (Japanese rice)
Lineage: Eukaryota; Viridiplantae; Streptophyta; Magnoliopsida; Poales; Poaceae
Description: MIR812 microRNA precursor family
Rfam family: MIR812 microRNA precursor family
Source: Rfam by way of RNAcentral
AAUAAAUGACGUCGUUGACUUUUUUUCACAUGUUUGACCAUUCGUCUUAUUCAAAAAAUUUAUGUAAUUAUAAUUUAUUUUGUUAUGAGUUGUUUUAUCACUCAUAGUACUUUAAGUGUAAUUUAUAUCUUAUAUAUUUGCAUAAAAUUUUUGAAUAAGACGAAUGGUCAAAAAUAUAAGAAAAAGUUAACGGCGUCAUCUAUU